GUCGAGAAUCUUGGGCAAUGCGCGAAAGCGUGACCCAGCAAUGCCGCGUGCAUGAUGAAGGCCCUCGGGUCGUAAAAUGCUGUCUCCCGUGACGAAUAAUGACGGUAGCGGGGAAGGAAGCCACGGCUAACUACGUGCCAGCAGCCGCGGUAAUACGUAGGUGGCGAGCGUUGUUCGGAUUUAUUGGGCGUAAAGGGUCUGUAGGAGGUUUGUUAAAUACGAGGUGAAAUCCGGGGGCUCAACUUCCGAAUUGCCUUGUAGACUGAUGAACUAGAGUACUGGAGAGGUAAGCGGAAUACCAGGUGUAGCGGUGGAAUGCGUAGAUAUCUGGUAGAACACCAAUAGCGAAGGCAGCUUGCUGGACAGAAACUGACUCUGAAAGACGAAAGCAUGGGGAGCAAACAGGAUUAGAAACCCCAGUAGUCC
This 426-nucleotide ribosomal RNA is filed under the name uncultured bacterium. RNAcentral's name for it is "bacterial SSU rRNA". It matches the Rfam family "Bacterial small subunit ribosomal RNA", at positions 354 to 796 of the family's 1533-position model. The record is from RNAcentral.